RNAcentral lists this small nucleolar RNA (93 nucleotides) under Meriones unguiculatus (Mongolian gerbil). Its description in RNAcentral is "Small nucleolar RNA SNORA64/SNORA10 family (ENSMUGG00000020514.1)". Lineage: Eukaryota; Metazoa; Chordata; Mammalia; Rodentia; Muridae. The record is from RNAcentral.
UGACUUUCAUAUUUGGUGAGAGAGGAAAGAGUUCCUCAGGGGCCUUGAGGUGGCCCCAGGGUGGCCUCUCUUGCCUAGAGGAGCACCACAGGC